Molecule: ribosomal RNA, 254 nt
Filed under: uncultured prokaryote
Description: partial 16S ribosomal RNA
Rfam family: Bacterial small subunit ribosomal RNA
Source: RNAcentral
UACGAAGGGGGCUAGCGUUGUUCGGAAUUACUGGGCGUAAAGGGCGCGUAGGCGGCCCGUUCAGUCAGAAGUGAAAGCCCCGGGCUCAACCUGGGAAUGGCUUUUGAUACUGGCGGGCUUGAGUUCCGGAGAGGAUGGUGGAAUUCCCAGUGUAGAGGUGAAAUUCGUAGAUAUUGGGAAGAACACCGGUGGCGAAGGCGGCCAUCUGGACGGACACUGACGCUGAGGCGCGAAAGCGUGGGGAGCAAACAGGA